This 221-nucleotide long non-coding RNA is filed under the name Elaeis guineensis (African oil palm). RNAcentral's name for it is "long non-coding RNA (EGUI_LNC023333)". Lineage: Eukaryota; Viridiplantae; Streptophyta; Magnoliopsida; Arecales; Arecaceae. The record is from RNAcentral.
CCUACGACAGUCCACCAUCAAGCAUUCUGAUUUUCAAUCACCAUCGAACUGGAAGUCCUACAGGGAUCACUGAAUGCGGACGGACGUAUGGGAGACCCUCUGCGAUCAAUGGAGCAGCGAGGAGUAUGCCAAUAGAUGAUAGAGGGUCCGACAGAAUCAGACCAUCUAGCAAGAUCCGAUCAGACAUACGGACGGCUCCAUCGAUACACAUGUUGUGGCCG